CUUUAGAUUGUGUUGCAUUACCUGUGAUCGUUGAAGGGGUUCUAGCUUGACGCAUUCGUGAUCCUCCUAGUUUUCCAGUCUUCACUUUGGAGAUUGGAGGAGAAUUGUGUGGUGAUUGAAAAAAGUAGAAGAUGAAGGUUGAAGGGAUAAGAAGGUAGGUGAAAAGCUUCAGGUGGAAGAGAACGACAGCGAGUAUCUUCUUUCUCACUUGCACGUGUUUGCCUCUUUAGUCUUCACUUUGGAGAUUGGAGGAGAAUUGUGCGGUGAUUGAAAAAAGUAGAAAAUGAAGGUUGAAGGGAUAAGAAGGUAGGUGAAAAGCUUCAGGUGGAAGAGAACCACAACGAGGUUAGGGGAAUUGGUAUUGGGAUUGGAAUUCUUGGUGGAUUCAUUUAGGGUUUUGACAACAUCGUUUUGCCAAAGCUUCUUGCAGAGGUGAAAGGGUUUGUGAGGUUCGACGGUGAGGGUGCGGAAGCAGCUAGCAGUGACGUGCUGGUUGGAUUAGAGGUUGCGGCCAUGGAGGCGGAGGGUGGAGGAGUCUUUGUGGAAGUCGUGGCACGUGACUUUGAUGUCGAGGGUGAGUUUCACAUGUGAGGCAAUGUUCUUCUUUGUGGGUGAAUCGAGGUUGCAUGGACCUUGCGGGUGGUGUCAAAAAAUUUAAAUUUGAUUUUGAAAUAAAUAUUGACGAUUUUUGAAUCGUCACAAAUCGUGUUAUCAAAUAUUUAAUAGACACAUCAUCACUUAACUAACAGCAGGAAUCUAAAACAAAAAUUUUCAAAUAUUAAGGAUUCGAUUCGAAAGAAAAAUUUAUCAUGGAUCAAACGUAAAAAUUGAGUAUACAUCAGGAAUAAAAAAUAUAUUUAAGUCUAAUAAUAAUUAUGACAACAUUUUUUGUAUGCAAUUACAAAUCAUCAAAUAUAUGCUCAUCAUGAAGUAACACGCUUAAAAUAUAACGAAUAUAUAAACAAAUGAAUGGA
Long non-coding RNA from Glycine soja, 974 nucleotides. RefSeq lists it as uncharacterized. The record is from RefSeq and is a predicted model, not a curated record. The transcript has 2 exons. NCBI's taxonomy places the organism in Eukaryota, Viridiplantae, Streptophyta, Magnoliopsida, Fabales, Fabaceae.